UCGCUACUACCGAUUGAAUGGCUUAGUGAGUUCUCUGGACUGUUGCACGUUGUUGGAAACUUCAGCGAGCUUUCGGGAAGGAGACCAAACUUGAUCAUUUAGAGGAAGUAA
Molecule: ribosomal RNA, 111 nt
Filed under: uncultured eukaryote
Lineage: Eukaryota
Description: partial small subunit ribosomal RNA
Source: RNAcentral